Molecule: ribosomal RNA, 253 nt
Filed under: uncultured bacterium
Lineage: Bacteria
Description: partial 16S ribosomal RNA
Rfam family: Bacterial small subunit ribosomal RNA
Source: RNAcentral
UACGAAGGGGGCUAGCGUUGCUCGGAAUCACUGGGCGUAAAGGGUGCGUAGGCGGGUCUUUAAGUCAGGGGUGAAAUCCUGGAGCUCAACUCCAGAACUGCCUUUGAUACUGAAGAUCUUGAGUUCGGGAGAGGUGAGUGGAACUGCGAGUGUAGAGGUGAAAUUCGUAGAUAUUAGGAAGAACACCAGUGGCGAAGGCGGCUCACUGGCCCGGUACUGACGCUGAGGCGCGAAAGCGUGGGGAGCAAACAGG